RNAcentral lists this ribosomal RNA (1141 nucleotides) under Acinetobacter baumannii. RNAcentral's name for it is "bacterial SSU rRNA". It matches the Rfam family "Bacterial small subunit ribosomal RNA", at positions 8 to 1144 of the family's 1533-position model. The record is from RNAcentral. Lineage: Bacteria; Pseudomonadati; Pseudomonadota; Gammaproteobacteria; Moraxellales; Moraxellaceae.
AGAGUUUGAUCAUGGCUCAGAUUGAACGCUGGCGGCAGGCUUAACACAUGCAAGUCGAGCGGGGGAAGGUAGCUUGCUACUGGACCUAGCGGCGGACGGGUGAGUAAUGCUUAGGAAUCUGCCUAUUAGUGGGGGACAACAUCUCGAAAGGGAUGCUAAUACCGCAUACGUCCUACGGGAGAAAGCAGGGGAUCUUCGGACCUUGCGCUAAUAGAUGAGCCUAAGUCGGAUUAGCUAGUUGGUGGGGUAAAGGCCUACCAAGGCGACGAUCUGUAGCGGGUCUGAGAGGAUGAUCCGCCACACUGGGACUGAGACACGGCCCAGACUCCUACGGGAGGCAGCAGUGGGGAAUAUUGGACAAUGGGGGGAACCCUGAUCCAGCCAUGCCGCGUGUGUGAAGAAGGCCUUAUGGUUGUAAAGCACUUUAAGCGAGGAGGAGGCUACUUUAGUUAAUACCUAGAGAUAGUGGACGUUACUCGCAGAAUAAGCACCGGCUAACUCUGUGCCAGCAGCCGCGGUAAUACAGAGGGUGCGAGCGUUAAUCGGAUUUACUGGGCGUAAAGCGUGCGUAGGCGGCUUAUUAAGUCGGAUGUGAAAUCCCCGAGCUUAACUUGGGAAUUGCAUUCGAUACUGGUGAGCUAGAGUAUGGGAGAGGAUGGUAGAAUUCCAGGUGUAGCGGUGAAAUGCGUAGAGAUCUGGAGGAAUACCGAUGGCGAAGGCAGCCAUCUGGCCUAAUACUGACGCUGAGGUACGAAAGCAUGGGGAGCAAACAGGAUUAGAUACCCUGGUAGUCCAUGCCGUAAACGAUGUCUACUAGCCGUUGGGGCCUUUGAGGCUUUAGUGGCGCAGCUAACGCGAUAAGUAGACCGCCUGGGGAGUACGGUCGCAAGACUAAAACUCAAAUGAAUUGACGGGGGCCCGCACAAGCGGUGGAGCAUGUGGUUUAAUUCGAUGCAACGCGAAGAACCUUACCUGGCCUUGACAUACUAGAAACUUUCCAGAGAUGGAUUGGUGCCUUCGGGAAUCUAGAUACAGGUGCUGCAUGGCUGUCGUCAGCUCGUGUCGUGAGAUGUUGGGUUAAGUCCCGCAACGAGCGCAACCCUUUUCCUUACUUGCCAGCAUUUCGGAUGGGAACUUUAAG